GGGCUUGUAGCUCAGCCUGGACAGAGCGUUCGACUGAUAAUCGAAAGGUUCCUGGGUUCGAAUCCCAGCAGGCCCA
Molecule: transfer RNA, 76 nt
Filed under: Candidatus Micrarchaeota archaeon CG1_02_55_22
Lineage: Archaea; Nanobdellati; Microcaldota
Description: tRNA-Ile
Rfam family: tRNA
About the family: Transfer RNA (tRNA) molecules are approximately 80 nucleotides in length. Their secondary structure includes four short double-helical elements and three loops (D, anti-codon, and T loops).
Source: RNAcentral